RNAcentral lists this ribosomal RNA (950 nucleotides) under uncultured bacterium. RNAcentral describes it as "bacterial SSU rRNA". It matches the Rfam family "Bacterial small subunit ribosomal RNA", at positions 531 to 1498 of the family's 1533-position model. The record is from RNAcentral.
GGGGUUGGUGUCGGGAUCACUGGGCGUAAGCGCACGCAGGCGGCUCCGAAAGCCCACGGUGAAAGCCCUCGGCCCAACCGAGGGAGGCCCGUGGGAACUCCGGGGCUUGAAGGCGGGAGAGGCAGAUGGAAUUUCCGGUGUAGCGGUAAAAUGCGUAGAUACCGGAAGGAACACCAGUGGCGAAAGCGAUCUGCUGGCCCGCUCUUGACGCUCAGGUGCGAAAGCUAGGGUAGCGACCGGGAUUAGAUACCCCGUUAGUCCUAGCCGUAAACAAUGGGCACUAGGUGUUGUCGGUAUCGACCCCGGCAGUGCCGAAGCUAACGCAUUAAGUGCCCCGCCUGGGGAGUACGGCCGCAAGGCUAAAACUCAAAGGAAUUGACGGGGGCCCGCACAAGCAGCGGAGCGUGCGGUUCAAUUCGAUGGUACGCGAAGAACCUUACCCAGGCUUGACAUGCAGGUGGUACUGACCCGAAAGGGAAGGGACCCGCAAGGGAGCCUGCAAUGGUGUUGCACGGCUGUCGUCAGCUCGUGUCGUGAGAUGUUGGGUUAAGUCCCGCAACGAGCGCAACCCUCGCCGCCUGUUGUAUCCCUCAGGCGGGACUGCCGAGAGAAACUCGGAGGAAGGUGGGGAUGAUGUCAAGUCCGCGUGGCCCUUAUGCCUGGGGCUACACGCACGCUACAAUCGCCGGUCACAGCGGGUCGCAACUGCGCGAGCAGGAGCUAAUCCCUCAAAACCGGCGUCAGUUCAGAUCGGAGGCUGCAACCCGCCUCCGUGAAGUCGGAGUUGCUAGUAACCGCGGGUCAGCACACCGCGGUGAAUAUGUUCCCGGGCCUUGUACACACCGCCCGUCACGUCAUGGAGUCGGUAACACCCGAAGCCGGUGGGCCAACCGCAAGGAGGCAGCCGUCGAAGUUGGGACCGGCGACUGGGACGAAGUCGUAACAAGGUU